AAGUCGUAACAAGGUUUCCGUAGGUGAACCUGCGGAAGGAUCAUUAUCGAUUCGUCGGAUGUGCUGGCGCUCCUGCGCAUGUGCACUCUGUCAACCCCUCAUACACCUGUGCACUUCGGACGCGUACUCCCUUGCGGGUUUACGGCGUACUUCACAAAACCUUAUGAACUUGACCAGUAGAGUGUUGAUACAAUAAAACUGUACAACCAUCAGCAACGGAUCUCUUGGCAUCCCAAUCGAUGAAGAACGUAGCGAAUUGCGAUAAGUAAUGUGAAUUGCAGAAUUCAGUGAAUCAUCGAAUCUUUGAACGCACCUUGCACCUUCUGGUAUUCCGGAGGGUAUGCUCGGUUGAGUGUUUUGAAUAUCUCAAUCUCUUGGCUUUUAUAUGGCCCUGCGCGUCGUGAUCCUGUCCAGAGGGGCAGCUUCGUGCGUGUGGGGUGAAGUCUUGAGACUUGGACUUGAGUCUCUGCCGGCCCUGUCGGCUUGCUCGAAAUGCAUUAGCCGGACCAUACGUGGGCUCCAUUUUGGUGUGAUAAGUCUUUCAUCGCCGCUUGGAUCUGCUUGUUGGCCGCUUCCAAUCGUCCUCGGACAAUUCGAUCUUUACACCUCAACUCGAGUAGGACUACCCGCUGAACUUAAGCAUAUCAUUAAGCGGAGGAAAAGAAACUAACAAGGAUUCCCCUAGUAACGGCGAGUGAAGCGGGAAGAGCCCAAAUUUGAAAUCUGGCGGUCUUCGGCCGUCCGAGUUGUAAAUUAGAGAAGCGUUUUCCGCGCUGGACCUAUCAUAAGUUACCUUGAAUGGUGCUCCAUAGAGGGUGAAAGUCCCGUGCUUUGAUAGGAACCACCAGGGCUAUGUGAUGCGCUCUCGACGAGUCGAGUAGUUUGCGAAUGCUGCUCUAAAUGGGAGGUAAAUUCCUUCUAAGGCUAAAUAUCUUGGGAUGACCGAUAGCGAACAAGUACCGUGAGGGAAAGAUGAAAAGAACUUUGGAAAGAGAGUUAAACAGUACGUGAAAUUGCUGGUGGGGAAACGCUUGAAGUCAGUCGCGUCUUCUGGGAUUCAGCCCUGCUUCUGCUGGGUGCACUUCCUAGUCGAUGGGCCAGCGUCCAUUUCGAUCGUUGGAAAAGGGCGGAUUGAACGUGGCAGCUUCGGCUGUGUUAUAGCUUUCCGUCGCACACCUCGGUUGGGAUGGAUCUAACGGCAUGCUUUUGCGGUGCCUGUGCUGGCGUAAUGGCUUUAAACGACC
Molecule: ribosomal RNA, 1244 nt
Filed under: uncultured fungus
Lineage: Eukaryota; Fungi
Description: eukaryotic LSU rRNA
Rfam family: Eukaryotic large subunit ribosomal RNA (bases 603-1244)
Source: RNAcentral